UAAGCCGUUGAAGGUGAAUCGUAAGGUUUGCUGGAGGUAUCAGAAGUGCGAAUGCUGACAUGAGUAACGACAAAGGGGGUGAAAAACCUCCUCGCCGGAAGACCAAGGGUUCCUGUCCAACGUUAAUCGGGGCAGGGUGAGUCGACCCCUAAGGUGAGGCCGAAAGGCGUAAUCGAUGGGAAACGGGUUAAUAUUCCCGUACUUCUGACUAUUGCGAUGGGGGGACGGAGAAGGCUAGGUGGGCCAGGCGACGGUUGUCCUGGUUCAAGUGCGUAGGCUUGAGAGUUAGGUAAAUCCGGCUCUCUCUAAGGCUGAGACACGACGUCGAGCUACUACGGUAGUGAAGUCAUUGAUGCCAUGCUUCCAGGAAAAGCCUCUAAGCUUCAGAUAGUCAGGAAUCGUACCCCAAACCGACACAGGUGGUCGGGUAGAGAAUACCAAGGCGCUUGAGAGAACUCGGGUGAAGGAACUAGGCAAAAUGGUACCGUAACUUCGGGAGAAGGUACGCUCUUGAUGGUGAAGUCCCUCGCGGAUGGAGCUGACGAGAGUCGCAGAUACCAGGUGGCUGCAACUGUUUAUUAAAAACACAGCACUGUGCAAAAUCGCAAGAUGACGUAUACGGUGUGACGCCUGCCCGGUGCCGGAAGGUUAAUUGAUGGGGUUAGCGCAAGCGAAGCUCUUGAUCGAAGCCCCGGUAAACGGCGGCCGUAACUAUAACGGUCCUAAGGUAGCGAAAUUCCUUGUCGGGUAAGUUCCGACCUGCACGAAUGGCGUAAUGAUGGCCACGCUGUCUCCACCCGAGACUCAGUGAAAUUGAAAUCGCUGUGAAGAUGCAGUGUACCCGCGGCUAGACGGAAAGACCCCGUGAACCUUUACUACAGCUUGGCACUGAACAUUGAACCUACAUGUGUAGGAUAGGUGGGAGGCUAUGAAGACGUGACGCCAGUUGCGUUGGAGCCGUCCUUGAAAUACCACCCUUGUAUGUUUGAUGUUCUAACUUAGACCCAUUAUCUGGGUUGAGGACAGUGCCUGGUGGGUAGUUUGACUGGGGCGGUCUCCUCCCAAAGAGUAACGGAGGAGCACGAAGGUGGGCUAAUCACGGUUGGACAUCGUGAGGUUAGUGCAAUGGCAUAAGCCCGCUUAACUGCGAGAAUGACGGUUCGAGCAGGUGCGAAAGCAGGUCAUAGUGAUCCGGUGGUUCUGUAUGGAAGGGCCAUCGCUCAACGGAUAAAAGGUACUCCGGGGAUAACAGGCUGAUACCGCCCAAGAGUUCAUAUCGACGGCGGUGUUUGGCACCUCGAUGUCGGCUCAUCACAUCCUGGGGCUGAAGUCGGUCCCAAGGGUAUGGCUGUUCGCCAUUUAAAGUGGUACGCGAGCUGGGUUUAGAACGUCGUGAGACAGUUCGGUCCCUAUCUGCCGUGGGCGUUGGAAGAUUGAAGGGGGCUGCUCCUAGUACGAGAGGACCGGAGUGGACGAACCUCUGGUGUUCGGGUUGUGUCGCCAGACGCAUUGCCCGGUAGCUAAGUUCGGAAUUGAUAAGCGCUGAAAGCAUCUAAGCGCGAAGCGAGCCCUGAGAUGAGUCUUCCCUGACAGUUUAACUGUCCUAAAGGGUUGUUCGAGACUAGAACGUUGAUAGGCAGGGUGUGUAAGCGUUGUGAGGCGUUGAGCUAACCUGUACUAAUUGCCCGUGAGGCUUAACCAUACAACACCCAAGG
Molecule: ribosomal RNA, 1715 nt
Filed under: Vibrio cholerae
Lineage: Bacteria; Pseudomonadati; Pseudomonadota; Gammaproteobacteria; Vibrionales; Vibrionaceae
Also listed under: 1 other name
Description: partial 23S ribosomal RNA
Rfam family: Bacterial large subunit ribosomal RNA
Source: RNAcentral